CUCAGAUUCAUAUUAUUUAAUUUAUUUUUGUUAUACACAUUCCUUCAUCAAGUGUUCAUUUGGAGUGUUCAGAUUGUUAGUUAUACAGGUAUGAUAGAUAUACAACGACAGUAACAAUGGAUAACAUGCUACUGUUCCAAUGGUCCUAACCACAGCACAACGACACUCUUACUGAUUGGUUAGCCGUGAGGUUGCCGCGCUGACGUCACUACACUACUGUGUGUGAUUGGAGGAGAGAGAACUCAAGCGGUGUGAUGUCGCGGAACUACAGAUUGCCCCUUUAAACCAGUGGCCACCAACCCUAGAAGUGCAUCAGUCCCAGAUUGCCCCUUUAAACUAGUAGCCACCAACCCUAGAAGACCAUCAGUCCCAGAUUACCCAUUUAAACCAGUGGCCACCAACCUCGGACGAGCAUCAGUCCCAGAUUGCCCCUUUAACCUAGUAGCCACCAACCCUAGAAGAUCAUCAGUCCCAGAUUGCCCCUUUAAACCAGUGGCCACCAACCCUAGAAGAUCAUCAGUCCCAGAUUACCCAUUUAAACUAGUAGCCACCAACCCUAGAAGACCAUCAGUCCCAGAUUGCCCCUUUAAACUAGUAGCCACCAACCCUAGAAGACCAUCAGUCCCAGAUUGCCCCUUUAAACCAGUGGCCACCAACCCUAGAAGUGCAUCAGUCCCAGAUUGUCCCCCCUUUAAACCAGUGGCCACCAACCCUAGAAGUGCAUCAAUCAGUGAUUGCCCCUUUUAAACCAGUGGCCACCAACCCUAGAAGUGCAUCAGUCCCAGAUUACCCCUUUAAACCAGUGGCCACCAACCCUAGAAGAGCAUCAGUCCCAGAUUGCCCCUUUAAACUAGUAGCCACCAACCCUAGAAGUGCAUCAGUCCCAGAUUGCCCCUUUAAACUAGUAGCCACCAACCCUAGAAGUGCAUCAGUCCCAGAUUACCCAUUUAAACCAGUGGCCACCAACUCUAGAAGACCAUCAUUACAAGCUGUGCAGGCUUUAAUUCCAGCCCUGCACUAAACCCACCUGAUUUUGACUAAUCCACUUGAUUAGCUAUAUUCAAAGUGUGUUGGUGGUAGUCAGGAACAAAAUCCUGCUUAGUCUCACUACAUAGCUAUGACUCUAUGUAAGGGUUGACCACUGAGAUAACUAGGUUACAGACAGACAGACAUGAGAAUACGAUCAACCUAGUAUUCCCUUUAUAGGACACUACUUCUGACCAGAGCCUUAUGGUCCCAUGUCAAAAGUAGUGCACUAUAUAGGGAAAAAGGUCAAUUUGGGCCUGUAUGAGUGGAUGGAUGGAAGCACAAGUGAUUUAGUAGCUUGGGGUAGAAGUUGCUCUUAGGCACAGAUCUAGGAUCAGCUUGUCUAGGAGUGUCCAGGUGUCACCAGGUGUCUAGAUUAAUCCAGAUGGGUAACCAGGUGUCUAGAUUCAUCCAGAUGGGUCACCAGGUGUCUAGAUUCAUCCAGAUGGGUCACCAGGUGUCUAGACGUGUCCAGAUGGGUCACCAGGUGUCUAGACGUGUCCAGAUGGGUCACCAGGUGUCUAGACGUGUCCAGAUGGGUCACCAGGUGUCUAGAUGUGUCCAGAUGGGUCACCAGGUGUCUAGAUGUGUCCAGAUAGGUCACCAGGUGUCUAGAUGUGUCCAGAUAGGUCACCAGGUGUCUAGAUGUGUCCAGAUGGGUCACCAGGUGUCUAGAUGUGUCCAGAUAGGCCACCAGGUGUCUAGAUGUGUCCAGAUGGGUCACCAGGUGUCUAGAUGAAUCCAGAUAGGUCACCAGGUGUCUAGAUUAAUCCAGAUGGGUCACCAGAUGUCUAGAUUAAUCCAGAUGAGUCACCAGGUGUCUAGAUCUGUCCAGAUGAGUCACCAGGUGUCUAGAUGAGUCACCAGGUGUCUAGAUUAAUCCAGAUGGUGUCUAGAUUAAUCCAGAUGGGUCACCAGGUGUCUAGAUGAAUCCAGAUGAGUCACCAGGUGUCUAGAUGGGUCCAGAUGAGUCACCAGGUGUCUAGAUUAAUCCAGAUGGGUCACCAGGUGUCUAGAUUAAUCCAGAUGGGUCACCAGGUGUCUAGAUGUGUCCAGGUGUCACCAGGUGUCUAGAUUAAUCCAGAUGGGUCACCAGGUGUCUAAAUUAAUCCAGAUGGGUCACCAGGUGUCUAGAUGGGUCACCAGGUGUCUAGAUUAAUAUAGAUGGGUCACCAGGUGUCUAGAUUAAUCCAGAUGAGUCACCAGGUGUCUAGAUUAAUCCAGAUGGGUCACCAGGUGUCUAGAUGUGUCCAGAUGAGUCACCAGGUGUCUAGAUGGGUCACCAGGUGGUGUCUAGAUGUGUCCAGGUGUCACCAGGUGUCCAGAAUUGUCCAGAUGAGUCACCAGGUGUCUAGAUUAAUCCAGAUGAGUCACCAGGUGUCUAGAUUAAUCCAGAUGAGUCACCAGGUGUCUAGAUUCAUCCAGAUGAGUCACCAGGUGUCUAGAUUAAUCCAGGUGGGUCACCAGGUGUCUAGAUUAAUCCAGAUGGGUCACCAGGUGUCUAGAUUAAUCCAGAUGAGUCACCAGGUGUCUAGAUGUGUCCACUCUCACCAGGUGUGUGUAAAGGUGUCCAGAAGUGUCCACUCUCACCAGCUGUGUGUAAAGGUGUCCUGUGUAUCCAGGUGUGCUGAGGUGUUGUGAUCAUAAAGGGAAUCCGUUAAACGGGACGUCUAGUGACGUUCAUCUUAUAGACUGAUCUCAGGCCUGUCCCAACUCAUUCAUCUCAUAGACUGAUCUCAGGCCUGUCCAACUCAUUCCCCUUAUAGACUGAUCUCAGGCCUGUCCAACUCAUUCCCCUUUUAGACUGAUCUCAGGCCUGUCCCAACUCAUUCACCUUAUAGACUGAUCUCAGGCCUGUCCAACUCAUUCAUCUCAUAGACUGAUCUCAGGCCUGUCCAACUCAUUCCCCUUAUAGACUGAUCUCAGGCCUGUCCAACUCAUUCACCUUAGAUAGCGAACUCAGGGGUGUCCAACUAAUUCCCCUUAUAGACUGAUCUCAGGCCUGUCCAACUCAAUCACCUUAUAGACUGAUCUCGGGCCUGUCCCAACUCAUUCAUCUUAUAGACUGAUCUCAGGCCUGUCCAACUCAUUCCCCUUAUAGACUGAUCUCAGGCCUGUCCAACUCAUUCACCUUAGAUAGCGAACUCAGGGGUGUCCAACUAAUUCCCCUUAUAGACUGAUCUCAGGCCUGUCCAACUCAAUCACCUUAUAGACUGAUCUCGGGCCUGUCCCAACUCAUUCAUCUUAUAGACUGAUCUCAGGCCUGUCCAACUCAUUCCCCUUAGAUAGCGAACUCAGGGGUGUCCAACUAAUUCCCCUUAUAGACUGAUCUCAGGCCUGUCCAACUCAUUCACCUUAUAGACUGAUCUCAGGCCUGUCCAACUCAUUCAUCUUAUAGACUGAUCUCAGGCCUGUCCAACUAAUUCCCCUUAUAGACUGAUCUCAGGCCUGUCCAACUCAUUCACCUUAUAGAAUGAUCUCAGGCCUGUCAAACUCAUUCCCCUUAUAGACUGAUCUCAGGCCUGUCCCAACUCAUUCAUCUCAUACACUGAUAUCAGGCCUGUCCAACUCAUUCACCUUAUAGACUGAUCUCAGGCCUGUCCAACUCAUUCACCUUAGAUAGCGAACUCAGGGGUGUCCAACUACUUCACCUUAUAGACUGAUCUCAGGCCUGUCCCAACUCAUUCACCUUAUAGACUGAUCUCAGGCCUGUCCAACUCAUUCACCUUAGAUAGC
Molecule: long non-coding RNA, 3762 nt
Organism: Oncorhynchus tshawytscha (Chinook salmon)
Lineage: Eukaryota; Metazoa; Chordata; Actinopteri; Salmoniformes; Salmonidae
Source: Ensembl